This 602-nucleotide ribosomal RNA is filed under the name uncultured archaeon. Its description in RNAcentral is "bacterial SSU rRNA". It matches the Rfam family "Archaeal small subunit ribosomal RNA", at positions 62 to 669 of the family's 1478-position model. The record is from RNAcentral.
GGUGUCUUCGGACGCCGGCAUACGGCUCAGUAACACGUAGGUAACCUACCCUCAGGACUGAGAUAACCCCGGGAAACUGGGGCUAAUAUUAGAUAGAUAAAAGAUACUGGAAUGUUCUUUUAUCCAAAGCUUUUGCGCCUGAGGAUGGGCCUGCGUCCGAUUAGGUUGUUGGUGGGGUAAUGGCCCAUCAAGCCUGCGAUCGGUACGGGCAGUGGGAGCUGAAGCCCGGAGUUGGGGACUGAGACAAGGCCCCAGGCCCUACGGGGCGCAGCAGGCGCGAAACCUCUGCAAUGCGGGAAACCGUGACAGGGGGAUCCCAAGUGCUCAUGCAUUGCAUGGGCUGUUCUUUGGUCUAAGUAACCAGAGGAGUAAGGGCUGGGCAAGACCGGUGCCAGCCGCCGCGGUAAUACCGGCAGCUCAAGUGGUAGCCGCGAUUAUUGGGCCUAAAACGUUCGUAGCCGGAUAAGUAAGUCUUUGGUUAAAUCCUGCGACUCAACCGUGGGAAUUCUAGAGAUACUGCUUGUCUUGAGACCGGGAGAGGUUGGAGGUACUCCUAGGGUAGGGGUGAAAUCCUGUAAUCCUAGGGGGACCACCUGUGGCGA